GAUUAACGCUGGCGGCGUGCAUAACACAUGCAAGUCGAACGAUGAAACUUUAAUGACCCCUUCGGGGAGAAUUAAAGCGGAUUAGUGGCGAACGGGUGAGUAACGCGUGAGUAACCUGCCUUACACAAGGGGAUAGCCUUUGGAAACGAAGAAUAAUACCCUAUAAAACCAUAAAAGCACAUGCAAUUAUGGUCAAAGUGAUAGCGGUGUAAGAUGGACUUGCGUCUGAUUAGCUAGUUGGUGAGAUAAAAGCCCACCAAGGCAACGAUCAGUAGCCGGCUUGAGAGAGUGUACGGCCACAUUGGGACUGAGACACGGCCCAGACUCCUACGGGAGGCAGCAGUGGGGAAUUUUGCACAAUGGGGGAAACCCUGAUGCAGCGACGCCGCGUGAUUGAGAAGGCCUUCGGGUUGUAAAAAUCUUUUGUAUAGGAAGAAAAUGACAGUACUAUACGAAUAAGGUCCGGCUAAUUACGUG
This 477-nucleotide ribosomal RNA is filed under the name uncultured bacterium. RNAcentral's name for it is "partial 16S ribosomal RNA". It matches the Rfam family "Bacterial small subunit ribosomal RNA", at positions 28 to 507 of the family's 1533-position model. The record is from RNAcentral.